GACGAACGCUGGCGGCGUGCUUAACACAUGCAAGUCGAACGGAAAGACCCUGCUUUUGUGGGGUGCUCGAGUGGCGAACGGGUGAGUAACACGUGAGUAACCUGCCCUUGACUUUGGGAUAACUUCAGGAAACUGGGGCUAAUACCGGAUAGGAGCUCCUGCUGCAUGGUGGGGGUUGGAAAGUUUCGGCGGUUGGGGAUGGACUCGCGGCUUAUCAGCUUGUUGGUGGGGUAGUGGCUUACCAAGGCUUUGACGGGUAGCCGGCCUGAGAGGGUGACCGGCCACAUUGGGACUGAGAUACGGCCCAGACUCCAACGGGAGGCAGCAGUGGGGAAUAUUGCACAAUGGGCGGAAGCCUGAUGCAGCAACGCCGCGUUCGGGAUGACGGCCUUCGGGUUGUAAACCGCUUUCGCCUGUGACGAAGCGUGAGUGACGGUAAUGGGUAAAGAAGCACCGGCUAACUACGUG
Molecule: ribosomal RNA, 468 nt
Filed under: uncultured bacterium
Lineage: Bacteria
Description: partial 16S ribosomal RNA
Rfam family: Bacterial small subunit ribosomal RNA
Source: RNAcentral